UAGGGAGCAAGCGUUGUCCGGAUUUACUGGGUGUAAAGGGUGCGUAGGCGGAUUGGCAAGUCAGAAGUGAAAUCCAUGGGCUUAACCCAUGAACUGCUUUUGAAACUGUUAGUCUUGAGUGGAGUAGAGGUAGGCGGAAUUCCCGGUGUAGCGGUGAAAUGCGUAGAGAUCGGGAGGAACACCAGUGGCGAAGGCGGCCUACUGGGCUUUAACUGACGCUGAGGCACGAAAGUGUGGGUAGC
Molecule: ribosomal RNA, 242 nt
Filed under: uncultured bacterium
Lineage: Bacteria
Description: partial 16S ribosomal RNA
Rfam family: Bacterial small subunit ribosomal RNA
Source: RNAcentral